CGUGAUUUUUCCCUUGUAGUUAAGGUAGCUCUCGUAGUAAUCAACAAAAAAUACUAAGGUAUCAUUAUUUUUUGUAGAGUUUUUUUAAUUUUUACUAAGACAAAUGGGUUUAAAGGCAUUGCGUAUUUUCUUCACCAAAAAUGUGUUUUUGAAUACAAAAAACAUAAAAGUAAUUUUUGGAAAAAUUGUUGGGAUUUGGAAAAAAUGUUCAAAUAAAAG
Molecule: non-coding RNA, 219 nt
Organism: Cinara cedri
Lineage: Eukaryota; Metazoa; Arthropoda; Insecta; Hemiptera; Aphididae
Source: the annotation of a GenBank genome assembly